Molecule: long non-coding RNA, 1322 nt
Filed under: Oryctolagus cuniculus (rabbit)
Lineage: Eukaryota; Metazoa; Chordata; Mammalia; Lagomorpha; Leporidae
Description: lncRNA (ENSOCUG00000033097.1)
Source: RNAcentral
GAGAAGGACCUGGGGCAGGGACUGCUCCCCGAAGAUCCUGUGUGAGCAGCAAGGAUGACGAAGGGCCCUAAUCGGCCAACUGCUCAUCCUUCAAGCCCAACACCAGGUCGCUUCCUCCAGUAAGCCAUCUGACGAGUCGCAGGCACCAGCUUGCCUCUAUCACAUUGCCUCUGUGGGACCUCCCAUCAACCCCUGUGGCUACUGCAUAACCCACUAGAGACUGAGCUACUUAGGGACAGACACACACCUGCCUCUGUCACCUCAGGUCCCCAGCUCUUUCUGCAGACCCUAACACAGUGGGUUCUCAGUAAAUGUGAACAGAAUAUAUAAAUCACCAAGUCUCUGCACCCUCCAGGAAUAAGGUCCUGCUUCUGCCCCCUUCCUGCUCUGUGCCCCCCCACCUGUAUCUGUAGAAGUCAGCUUAGCCACCAAUGGUUGUUGGGAUGUACACACACACACACACACACACAAACACGGGGUGGGGGGCUGUACCUCAAGAGGCAGGGCAUAUGUACCGUCCUUCCCUAUACCACAGGGGACUUCUCGAAGCAGACGGUGGCACAAUGCAUGGAAUGAGAAGCGCAGGUAAACCCUCGCCCACCUCUGCCCUCCUACCACCUGCUCUGCUGCGGCUCUCAGCAUGGGAAGCGGCACUCCUGUCCAGGUCCUCCAGCCCUGUCUAAUGAGGGAACCCCCAUCACAACAGCCACAGGUGGUCCCCAGACACUAUUUACAUACCCCAGGGUCAAGGGCCUCACCCUUCACAAGCAGCUAUUACUCUCCUCUUAGACUGGUAGAGCACCACCAGGUUUUCCUCUUGUGGACUAAAGUCUGUCUCAUUCUAACUUUUCUAUCAUAACCUUAACCCUGCUCUUAGUCAAGUCACUAAGCUGCUCAUUGUCUGGGUGGUCACCUGCUGGGGCAGGCCUCUGGGCUUCUUCUGGGGUGAGCUGUGGAUGCCACAAGGUGAUGAGGGUGACUCCAGGCCAAUAUCAGAUUCUCUACUCUAAGAUGCCUCAUGCCCUCUGCCGCCCAGACCCCUGAUACACACUCCUUUUUUCUGCGCAGGUGCCAGAAGGUACCUUGGGUUUGACUCCUUAACAUCAGAUCCCCCCUUUACCCCAAGGGAGAGGCCCAUACCCUGUGCUCAUCAGGCAGCUUCUCAGCUCCAAAGCCCUGGGCCUGAGGCCUGCCCUUGGAGAGAGAGGCCACUGCCUACCCACCCCCUCAAAUCCCCACCACAUGCCGCAAGAAGGCAAAGCUGUCCUGGUGCAGGCCCAGCCUCAACACUCAGAGCCUGUUUAUACCUUCCCCUGCAUAGC